RNA transcript from Syzygium oleosum, 2793 nucleotides. RefSeq lists it as uncharacterized. NCBI's taxonomy places the organism in Eukaryota, Viridiplantae, Streptophyta, Magnoliopsida, Myrtales, Myrtaceae. The record is from RefSeq and is a predicted model, not a curated record. The transcript has 5 exons.
CAUCAACGGUGGAAACCCGGUACAAAUCAUGUCGCGACUCUUUCCUUGUUUGACUUUAUGCCUUCAUGAAUCAUCUUGCAAAUUCGUACCUUAACAUCAUCCGCAAUUUAUUACUUCAGUUCGGUCAUUGUUGGUGAUGAUGAUGUCUACGCCGUAGAGGCUUUAGAACAACAGAAGAUUUCCACUGUAUUGUGGAUAACAGUGUGAGAUCCAGACCAGAAGUGUGGAGGAAGUCCUUAAAUCAACUGUAUUGCUUCCACAUUUUUCGGAUAAACAUGACAAGUAAUCAAUGGGUGGCUAGAAAGCUGCCACUGAAUGAAAUUAGAAAGCCGCUCCUGCGAUAGCUGUGGUUUUAGCCAAAAAUGUGCACCAUUUUUGGCUAGACUGCUGGCGGGGACAAAAAAUAUUCAGAGUUUAGGUAUCACCUAGCUGUUUAUGGCACUGAAAUGAAGUGGCAUGAGUUGUGCAUAUGAUUUUUAAUUCUGUGGAGAGCUUAAUUGGUACUGCAUCAGAAGCGAGGACUUCCAACUACAACCGUAAUCUUGACAUAGGAAUAGCUCAUUGGCAAUAUUAGGAGCGCAAAUUGACUUGGAAGAUACAUGUCAUGUUCUUUCUUUAUCAUUUGCACAAUAGUUUGAUGCGUGUCUUUGAAUCCUGAUGAGAAAAAUCGUGUUCUUUUAUUAUCAUAUGCAGUUGAGAGUACCCAUCUCACAUUAGUAUUUUCAGUUUGGCAUGGGGCUUUUUGUGUCGAUGUCUUACUGUUUUCUGUCUUAUUUCAACGAAUCUUGGGGAAAUUGGUCGACCACGCGAAUGUGAUGCUUCAGUGUCAUCUGGCUUGUGAUCCUGGUGGGAAUGAAAAUAGAUCAGAAUGCUUUCAAAGUACAUUGCAUGUCAUUAUGCGUCAUCAGUCACAGAGAAAGACUCUUAAUCCUUGACAUGACAUGAAUAUGUUCUUAGGCAAACAGAAAGUUAUACCAUUUUCCAAGUUCUAUUAAAGUUGGUUUCCUAGAGCAUUGGAUGUUUAUUAUGUGAUUCUUUCAUUUAUUCAUGCAUAAUAAAAUAGAACUUCAUUCAUUAUUAGCAAAAGUCCCACCCAAAAGCUUAAACUAUUAGUUAUAGGAAGACUCAAUGUAUAUAACCCCUGUUGAAACCCUUUAUUCAACCAGUGCGGAAUAAUACUUCAACGAUUGAUGAUCAUGGCAACUACUCAUGUCUAUGUGGUUUUGAUUGCAUUUUUAGUAGCUUAUGUCCACUUAUUCUGUCAUGGAUUAAUAAGCCACCAAAGACACCAUCAUAACAUUUUUUACUUUUCUCAGAUAUAGGACACUGAUGUUGAGAUGAUGAAAUUCCAUGGAUCUAUAUUCUACUUUGUUUGUCAAUUGAGAUGGUAAUGCAUAGGUUUCUCAAUCUGAAGGUGGAUUUAUGGCCUUGAUGCUGUCAAGAGUGACAUCCUGUACGGUGGAAAAACGGGUUACUGAAGUAUGACGAGGAAGAUAUGCAAGGAUAGGGGUGAUGCUACAUUUUGGAGACAUGAGUUCAGUCCAAUGGUUUUAUGUAGAAUCAAGCUGCACAAUUCACAUAUUCAGCUGCUUUCAGGACGGUUAUGAGAUAUAUUUUUCCUGGAAGCCUAAUUUGAAGGUUAAAAUCCUCUUAGACUAAGCCUCAAUUUGAAUGAUAUUGCCCAACAAUGCAGGUUGUGGUGAGAAGAUGCAGAGCUCUUACAUUGGUGUUUCCAUGUCCCAAUUGGGGUAUGAACAAGUUUGAUUGGUUCUCGAGAGGAUUCAACUUUAGAGAACUUAUGGAUGCAAAUGCUAACAAACAUAGAGGCUGUUUGUUUACCUGUGCCUACGAGUGGAGAUUGAACAUGGAAAUUGGGGAAGUUCAGGAGUCGAAUCUUAUGGGCACUGAAUUCUCUAUGGACUUCCCUUUCAUAAAUGCCAUUUUGACUGGCUUGCUUAACAAGUGUGGUUAUACUCAAGUCAUCAAUUCAAAGUCAAGCUCUAAAUGGGGAAUGGCUAAAUAUGGAAAUCUAGUGAAAUUAUACUUCGACGAACCUUGUCCUUGGUUGUUUGACUCUGAGAGAGGAAGAUGUCACAAGAAGUUGAUGAAGGUCUAGUACCAUAAUUUCGAAAAGGAUAGCUUCUGCAACGGGUGUAUUCUUGUCCCUAAGAAAGAUGGUGUCGGAGAGGACAGUGGUUGGAUUGUCUCUUGGGUACCUAAUGAAGAAACAGAUGUGUCCCAGAUUAAGUUCAAGAGUUUCAAUACAAUCAUCAUGUAGGUUUGCCUACCGGUGAUGAUGUUUGAUAUGAUUUUGAAAUUGUGAAAUCUACAGUCUCAGGAUUGAUGCACAGAAGUUUGAAGGCGAGCCAAUGGAAAAAUCACUCUGCCUUAAAGGGUACCCUAUGGAUUCCAUGGUUUUGUGCUAGCAUUUCCUGCUUAUCAGUAACUACAUCUGCCCUGGAAAAGUAAAGAGUUGAGAGACUGGCGACCGAACCACAUCGCUCUUUAAGCUACUGUACCCAAUAAAAGUCAAGCAUGUCUAUCCACAGACUCUACUAUAAGGCCAUUGGCUGGAAUUUUGCCUACUCAUCAAGUUCUAGAGUUAGCUUGUAAAUGUGGUCAAAGACAAAAGGCUAUGUGUACUCAAGUAAUUUAUAGGCUCUUUGACUAUAUCCAAGAUUUUUGUUGCAUGUAUAGAAAGGAGAGGUUUCGAUGCUUCUUGAAAAUGGAUCACUUCUUUUUAAAAGUUUCAUUUCGAAUGUAAAUAAAGCAGGCCACAAUAUUCAUGGCAGA